Long non-coding RNA from Drosophila gunungcola (fruit fly), 618 nucleotides. RefSeq lists it as uncharacterized. The record is from RefSeq and is a predicted model, not a curated record. Lineage: Eukaryota; Metazoa; Arthropoda; Insecta; Diptera; Drosophilidae. The transcript has 3 exons.
GGAAAGCGCCACCUGAGUCUAAACUUUCCGAGCGUGAAUAUGAAGACCGCCAGACUUGUACUCCUAUUGUGUACCCUGAGCUUUGUGACUGUCCUCCAGGCUUGUGUGGCAAAUGAGGGAAUAUGCCAGAUGCACAUGGACUGCUGCUCGGGAAAGUGCAUGACAUACAUGAGUAAAUGCGCCGCGAAGAUGUCUGGAUAAAAAAUUAUAUGACACAUUAACAUCCUUACAAAAAAAAACGACCUUUGCACAACAUCGUGCUUCUUAUAUAUCUAUCUAUAUUAUUUACAGUUUUUUUUUUCUAGAAUUUUUGUAAUUUGCGAUGUCACACUAUUUAUGGUAAUUACGUAAUUUAACAGUGUAAAAAGGCGCUACGUGGCAAUACCAAACCAUAUAAAGCGGCAAGAGCCACUUGAAUCUAAACUUUACCAGCGUGAAGAUGUGGACCGCCAGACUUGUAAAUUUUUUGUGUACUUUAUGCUUUGUGAUUUGUACGUCCGAGGUGUGCAGGAUGGGAAAGUGUAUACCUCCGUAAAGCGCUUGAUUACAAAAUGUAAAUAAAUAAAUAAAUUAAUUACAGUUUGUCUUCACUAUUAAACUCUAUGCUGGCAUCUUCUC